AUGAACGCUGGCGGCGUGCCUAACACAUGCAAGUCGAACGGAGAUUUAACGCUGAUGAGGCUUCGGCGGAUUCUUGUUAAAUCUUAGUGGCGGACGGGUGAGUAACGCGUGGGCAACCUGCCUCAUACUGGGGGAUAACAGUUGGAAACGACUGUUAAUACCGCAUAAGCGCACAGAGUCGCAUGACUCAGUGUGAAAAACUCCGGUGGUAUGAGAUGGGCCCGCGUCAGAUUAGCUAGUUGGUGGGGUAAAGGCCUACCAAGGCGACGAUCUGUAGCCGGACUGAGAGGUCGGACGGCCACAUUGGGACUGAGACACGGCCCAAACUCCUACGGGAGGCAGCAGUGGGGGAUAUUGCACAAUGGAGGAAACUCUGAUGCAGCGACGCCGCGUGAGUGAAGAAGUAUUUCGGUAUGUAAAGCUCUAUCAGCAGGGAAGAAAGGCUCGUAAGAGAGAUGACGGUACCUGACUAAGAAGCCCCGGCUAACUACGUGCCAGCCGCGGC
RNAcentral lists this ribosomal RNA (505 nucleotides) under uncultured bacterium. RNAcentral describes it as "bacterial SSU rRNA". It matches the Rfam family "Bacterial small subunit ribosomal RNA", at positions 29 to 518 of the family's 1533-position model. The record is from RNAcentral.